GUCCCAGCGCACAGCACGACGUCGAGGGCCUAGUGACGCAGCUGCUGUUGGAGGAAGCGCGGCUGCAGAGCUCAGCACAGGAGCUGACGCGGUUCUGUACGGAUGCGAGCAGGGAGCAUCGCGCGCGCAAGGGAGAGCUGGAGAUGGCCGGCGGCCGUCGCGUAGGAAGCUAGACGCCGAGCGCCAUGGAACUUCGCGGCAGGAAGCAGAGAAGGGAGCUCGACGCGAGCUGGAGCCGGAAACCGAGCAGGGAGGCAGAGACCUUCACGGCGCGGUGCAGGGAGGUGGAACGAGCGGCCGCCAUGGGAGGGAGCCGUCCGUGGGAGCAGAGCAGAGGAUUUGCUGCGCAAAGAAGAAGAACGCACGGCUGGAGAUAAAGAUUGCUAAGCGCUGAAAAUAUCCAGGGAGCAGAUGAUUUGCUGCUGCGCGGGGAGCUUCAGGGAGGAACUUGACGGCGGCCAUGGCAGAGAAGGAGCUCGACGGAAAUGAGCGCACCAGCCACGGUGAGCAGAGGCUGCGCGCGACGGGAUUUUAUCCCCGAGCUAAAGCAGCACGGCGUGGAAGAAGCAAGGGCAGAGGAGCAGGGAGAAGGAACGGCUGUAGCCCGCGGCCCUGGGCUGGGGAGCUGCAGGCCGGAACCAGAGUACGACGAGCUAUUUGAAGAAUCCCAGAAGCGGCGGCGGCAGAUAAGAACGGCCAGGGAUGAGGCCGACGGUCAACACAGUGAAAGAAAAUCCGAGAACGUGAGCGGUGGAAGGGAUAGGCUCGAGAGGAUAUUUUCAGUUUUUUUUUAUUUCUUUUCUUUUAUUUUUAGAAAUUUGCAGAUAUUUUUAGAACCCAGAAUUUUUAGCGAUAGCAAAAGAGUCGACAGUAAUUGCGACAGUUGAUUCGAUUCAAAAAUCUGAUAAAUUUACCUGCGGUCUAAACAUCUGGUUCCACA
Molecule: unclassified non-coding RNA, 940 nt
Filed under: Zea mays
Lineage: Eukaryota; Viridiplantae; Streptophyta; Magnoliopsida; Poales; Poaceae
Description: misc RNA Zm00001eb374730
Source: RNAcentral